UAUCCUUUUAAUUGACAUAAAACUAUCCUAUUCACCUUUGGGGGCCAAGGAAUUGUCUUUUGAUUUAUUUUCCUUUACUAAAUACUGUGUAAUUAGAUGAAUUCGGAACUCUGUAAGGGGGACAGUUUGUCGUGCCCAGUAGCUUCCCACUGGACUCUGGAGCCUGGCCUGCAAGAGCCAAAUUAUGAUCCUGAUCAACUUAAUCUGAUUGAACUACAGAAAAAUGAGUUGUUACUUAACAAGUUGUUGGAUAGUUGGGAGUCACAAUUAUUGGAGAUCACUGUCCAUAAGACUAGAUUGCUUCCAUCUCCAGAAUGCAUCUGCUUUGGAGUUUCCAAACUAUGAUCUGAAGAACCCGUUGCUUUUUGGCUUAUGUUGAGGCUGCUGGAUUGCAAAUGACAGGCAACAAAUGGCACAGCAAAACUUCUCAUCUCAUGGCUGGGAGAUAAAAUAGAACAAGGAAGGGGCUAAGGUCUCAUGAUCCCCAAUGACCCAACAUCCUCCUACAAGGCCCCAUCUCUCGAAUGUUUCACUGCCUCCCAGUAGCUCUACCCUUCAACACGUGGCCUUUGGGGAUAUUUAUCCAAACCAUAGCAAGGUUGACAGUAUUUUGCUUUGUAAGUAACCUCAACAUAAACUCUUUCUACAAGUAAUCUCCAAACCACCAUAAUUAUGACUAACAAACACAAUAGCAAUUUUAUAAUAACCAGUGGAAAACAUGUCUUUUUAUGCCAUAUCUUUUAGACUAGUGAACCUUAUCAUCAUGUCUGGGUUUCUUCAAAAACUGGUCUCUUUACUAACUUCUCCUUCUCACUUCAACACACCAAAGACUUGAAACACUUCUCACAAAUGACUUCCUAAAUUACCAAAUGCAACAGCUCUCUUUCCCACUUGACAAUCUGCAUCACUGUGUGUCAGGAGAUUAUCCCACAGCUGAACAAAUAGGCUCCAGGAGCAGUGAGACCCUGAAUCCUGGGUGGACUCUGUGCCGGCUAGUCUCCUUCAUUAGAAAAUGGGAAUAAUAGGAUGGCCUCUGUGGUGGGUUUCAUGUGAAAAUUGUGUUAGCAUUCCAUCAUUGUGAUAAAAGACCUGAGAUAAACAACUGAUAAAGAGGAAAGUUAUAUUUGGCUCACAGUGUCAGAAGGUUUCAGACCCUGGUCACUUGGCCAUGUCAUGGCACAGUACUACAUGGUGGGAUCAUGUGGCAGAAGAGGGCUGUUCACCUCAUGGCAUCUGGGAAGCAGAAAGACAGAGAGGAAGGGGCCAAGGUCCCUGUGUCCUCCUCAAGUGCACCCACCCCCCAUGACCUAACUCCCUCCUCCUAGACCUUACUACCUAAGAGCCAGCACCUCCCAAGAGUGCCAAGCUGAGGACCAAACCUUUAACACAUGAUCCUUUGGUGGACAUCCCAGAUCCGAAUUAUAGAAAUGCUUAAAUAGAACAUUAUAUAUAAAUAGUCCAAAGCUGCCUGGGGCACAGAGCCAGCUCUCAAAGUUUGGUCACUGAAAUUAGUGAUGAUCAUGAAAAUACUUCAUUCACACUCUCUUCUCACUUCCUUUAGUUUCUGUGGUACAUAAUUUCUGGGUUUUCACUUUAAAACCUUCAUUGUAUUCUCACUAAACAUACCAAAUGUUCAAAUCUCCUCCUGUGAAACCCCUGGUUAUGCAAUGUUUCAAAAGCCGAUCAUUUCUCACCUGGACUAUUGCAACAGUCUUUACGUCUUGGAGAAAUCUUUGCUCACUCCAAUCCUUUCUCUACACACAUCAACAAUUCAGAAGAAAAAAAAAUGUAUAUAUAUAAACUCAGAGCAAAGCACUGUCCUAAUCCAAAGCUUUUAAGAGCUUCCUGGAACAAAAUUCAAAUAUUCAGAGAGCAUGACAAUCAUGCUCCUUCCUAACACAUCCUUUAAGAAACCCCUUCUGACAUUAUCUCCUAAAUGUUAUAUACAUGUUCCGUAGGUGUCUUCCCUGUAUUUGAUUCAAAUUUUCCUGUAUUUAGCAAAAUUAUCUUUGUACCUUGUAUCUUUGGUUGUAGAAAGGUAUUAAUUUCUUUUAAGAUGGAGUUAUUCUAUUUUAGGUUGUAUUGGGAAGUUUUUAGCUACAAAUAAUAGAAAUGCAAUGUAUCUUUCUACUUCUUGGUUGCAACAAGGUGAGCAGCUUUGCUCCACCAUGUGCCCUCGCCUUAAUGUUCUGCUUUGCCACAGGUCCAAAAGCAAUGGAGCCAACUAACCAAGAAUCAAAGUAAGCUAAUUUUCUGGCAAUUUUUGUCAUAGUGAUGGAGAGCUGACUGACACCAGUGGCUUCAAUAUUGGUUAAUACAGCGAGUCUACAAUGUCAUCAGGAACCUGAGUUCUUUGCAUGUUUCUGUUCCACAUCUUGCUUAUAAACACAUGGUUCUACUUCUUCCAAGCAUCAGAACAAAGAGCUUUGCUCUGGCAUUUUAAGAGUAGUAUUUACAACUAAUGUUUUACUCACACUCUGUAAGAGCUGGUCUCUACCAUCAACUGUCAUCAGCUAGAGUCAAAUUGCCAACAAGAAUUGAUAAUGUGUAGACAUUCCAGAAGUAUGUGUAAUUUCUUUUUUUUGUACAAUGUCUUUAUUUUUCAUUUCAAUUCAGAACACAAACUGAGAAUGUUUUCCCAUAAUCAUGGUGGGAUCAUGCGGCAGAAGAGGGCUGUUCACCUCAUGGCAUCUUAGUUUAUCAAUGAAUUAUAAUUACACACAUUCACACAGGUGAGUGAUUAUAAUUCAUUGAUAAACUUAAGGCCAAGAAGGUUUAGAAAUCUUUCAAAACACAUGCAGCUUUCAAAACACUGAAGGAUAUCAGAAAACAUCACAAGGACCUCCUGAUAUGGUGUUCUAUCCCCAAGGACAUUUAAACCAAAAAAAAAUUACUUUCAUUCAAAUUAGCAGAGAUCAUAGCAGAAUUUCCUCAAGACUUUCUAAGUAACACACAACAGUGUUCUUUCAAAAAGAGGAAAUUGCUGCAGGGAGCAUGGUUCACAUAUGCCUCCUAAGACCCCACGAUGUGGCAAGAGAACUUGUACAUGAACUUCUCAUGUCUGCUCUAGGCCUCCAAGGUCCACAUCCCCCUGCCACAUUUCUACCUAAGUGGGCACUGGACACAUGUAAUAACUAAGAGAGAAAAUACCUUUUGGGGGGGGGUACAGAACAUGAAAGAAAUAGAACUUAUUUAUUUAAAAUAUUUAGCUUCCAAGGCUGGUGAUGAAGUUCAGUGGAAUUUAAAAUGCUUGCUGAGCACAUGCCUUAGACAGUGGGUUUAAUCCCCAGUACAACAAAAUGGUUUGUAAAAUUUUUUUUAAAAUUAGCUUCCAGGAGAAUCACAAAAUGAGUAAAUUAUGAAAUAUUCCUUCCAAUGCACACAAGCAAAUUUGCAUCCUGCCAGCCUGAAUCACUUGACCAAGGGCUUGUAAAGUAAAUAGAGGAUUAUAAGUAAAUAACUCGGGUCUUAUCACAAGGGCAGGUGGCAGAAUUCAACAGACUCCUUGAAGUGUAUGUCUUAUUUUUUUUUCCAGUUCUGGAAGUCAAAUAUGUCUUGAUGCCAGAUUGCUGGGGAACAUAGCAAAUCAGAUCCUUGGGGUCUUGGACCCUGCUCUUGAGCUUUGAGCAACCACACAGUCCCGA
Molecule: non-coding RNA, 3644 nt
Organism: Ictidomys tridecemlineatus (thirteen-lined ground squirrel)
Lineage: Eukaryota; Metazoa; Chordata; Mammalia; Rodentia; Sciuridae
Source: RefSeq, a predicted model, not a curated record